This is a small nuclear RNA of Cervus hanglu yarkandensis (Yarkand deer), 105 nucleotides long. NCBI's taxonomy places the organism in Eukaryota, Metazoa, Chordata, Mammalia, Artiodactyla, Cervidae. The record is from Ensembl.
GCCACGCUCACUUCAGUGGCACUUGCACUAAAACCAGAACUACACCGAGAAGACAGGCUCCUGCACAAGGAUGACAUGUAAACUUGUGAAGCGCUCCAUGUUUUU